AUUAAACGCUGGCGGCAGGCCCAACACAUGCAAGUCGAGCGGAUGAAGGGAGCUUGCUCCUGGAUUCAGCGGCGGACGGGUGAGUAAUGCCUAGGAAUCUGCCUGGUAGUGGGGGAUAACGUCCGGAAACGGGCGCUAAUACCGCAUACGUCCUGAGGGAGAAAGUGGGGGAUCUUCGGACCUCACGCUAUCAGAUGAGCCUAGGUCGGAUUAGCUAGUUGGUGGGGUAAAGGCCUACCAAGGCGACGAUCCGUAACUGGUCUGAGAGGAUGAUCAGUCACACUGGAACUGAGACACGGUCCAGACUCCUACGGGAGGCAGCAGUGGGGAAUAUUGGACAAAGGGCGAAAGCCUGAUCCAGCCAUGCCGCGUGUGUGAAGAAGGUCUUCGGAUUGUAAAGCACUUUAAGUUGGGAGGAAGGGCAGUAAGUUUAUACCUUGCUGUUUUGACGUUACCAACAGAAUAAGCACCGGCUAACUUCGUG
This 484-nucleotide ribosomal RNA is filed under the name uncultured bacterium. RNAcentral describes it as "partial 16S ribosomal RNA". It matches the Rfam family "Bacterial small subunit ribosomal RNA", at positions 30 to 507 of the family's 1533-position model. The record is from RNAcentral.